RNAcentral lists this ribosomal RNA (499 nucleotides) under Acrobeloides sp. Sourhope farm. RNAcentral describes it as "SSU rRNA". It matches the Rfam family "Eukaryotic small subunit ribosomal RNA", at positions 49 to 546 of the family's 1831-position model. Lineage: Eukaryota; Metazoa; Nematoda; Chromadorea; Rhabditida; Cephalobidae. The record is from RNAcentral.
CCAUGCAUGUCUAAGUAUAAACGAUUUAAUCGUGAAACCGCGAAUGGCUCAUUAUAACAGCUAUAAUUUACUUGAUCUUGACACAAUCCUACUUGGAUAACUGUGGUAAUUCUAGAGCUAAUACAUGCAUUAAAGCUCUGACCUCACGGGAAGAGUGCAUUUAUUAGAACAAAACCAAGCGGCUUCGGCUGUUUCUGGUUGACUCAUAGUAACUGAGCUGAUCGCAUGGUCUUGCACCGGCGACGUGUCUUUCAAGUAUCUGCCGUAUCAACUUUCGAUGGUAGUGUAUCUGACUACCAUGGUGAUCACGCGUAACGGAGAAUAAGGGUUCGGCUCCGGAGAGUUCGCCUGAGAAAUCGCGAACACAUCUAAGGAAGGCAGCAGGCGCGAAAAUUACCCACUCUCAGCACGAGGAGGUAGUGACGAAAAAUAACGAGACCGUUCUCUUAUGAGGCCGGUCAUCGGAAUGGGUACAAUUUAAACCCUUAAACGAGUAUGU